GACGAACGCUGGCGGCGUGCCUAAUACAUGCAAGUCGAGCGGAGCUUAUCCUUCGGGGUAAGCUUAGCGGCGGACGGGUGAGUAACACGUAGGCAACCUACCCUGUAGACUGGGAUAACUACCGGAAACGGAAGCUAAUACCGGAUAAUUCCUUUCUUCUCCUGAAGAAAGGAUGAAAGGCGGAGCAAUCUGCUACUAGAGGAUGGUCCUGCGGCGCAUUAGCUAGUUGGUGGGGUAACGGCCCACCAAGGCAACGACGGAUAGCCGGCCUGAGAGUGUGAUCAGCCACAUUGGGACUCAGACACGGCCCAAACGACUACGGGAGGCAGCAGUGGGGAAUAUUGGACAAUGGCCGCAAGGCUGACGCAGCGACGCCGCGUGUGGGAUGACGGCCUUCGGGUUGUAAACCACUGUCAGGGGGAACGAAUACACGCUUUGGGCGUGGGUGACGGUACCUCCAAAGGAAGCACCGGCUAACUCCGUGCCAGCAGCCGCCGUAA
RNAcentral lists this ribosomal RNA (500 nucleotides) under uncultured bacterium. Its description in RNAcentral is "partial 16S ribosomal RNA". It matches the Rfam family "Bacterial small subunit ribosomal RNA", at positions 28 to 523 of the family's 1533-position model. The record is from RNAcentral.